AUUCUUGUGCUCGGGCACGUACUGUCGCCAGUGAGGUCAUUACCGAGGCGCAGUCUUUUGCUGAUUGCAAAUUACACAUCCGAACACGUCUGUUAGCUUCGGCUUCCAGCAAUUUUUGGAAAAUCUCUCCUUCCUAAUGAU
RNAcentral lists this small nuclear RNA (141 nucleotides) under Grifola frondosa (maitake). RNAcentral's name for it is "U4 spliceosomal RNA". It matches the Rfam family "U4 spliceosomal RNA". Rfam says of the family: U4 small nuclear RNA (U4 snRNA) is a component of the major U2-dependent spliceosome. The structure of U4 snRNA from yeast and human has been reported. Lineage: Eukaryota; Fungi; Basidiomycota; Agaricomycetes; Polyporales; Grifolaceae. The record is from Rfam by way of RNAcentral.